This 459-nucleotide ribosomal RNA is filed under the name uncultured bacterium. RNAcentral describes it as "partial 16S ribosomal RNA". It matches the Rfam family "Bacterial small subunit ribosomal RNA", at positions 338 to 795 of the family's 1533-position model. The record is from RNAcentral.
CCUACGGGCGACAGCAGUGAGGAAUAUUGGUCAAUGGCCGAGAGGCUGAACCAGCCAAGUCGCGUGAGGGAAGACGGCCCUACGGGUUGUAAACCUCUUUUGUCGGGGAGCAAAGCGAGUCACGUGUUACUCAUUGAGAGUACCCGACGAAAAAGCAUCGGCUAACUACGUCCCAGCAGCCGCGGUAAUACGGAGGAGACGAGCGUUAGCCGGAUUUAUUGGGUUUAAAGGGUGCGCAGGCGGAGGUGCAAGACAGCGGUAAAAUUGCGGGGCUCAACCCCGUACUGCCGUUGCAACUGCAUCCCUUGAGUGCGCGAGAAGUAUGCGGAAUGCGGGGUGUAGCGGUGAAAUGCAUAGAUAUCACGCAGAACUCCGAUUGCGAAGGCAGCAUACCGGCGCGCAACUGACGCUCAUGCACGAAAGCGUGGGUAUCGAACAGGAUUAGAUACCCUUGUAGUC